GACGAACGCUGGCGGCGUGCCUAACACAUGCAAGUCGAGCGGGGUCCAUCCAGUGGCAACACUGGGGAAGACCUAGCGGCGAACGGGUGAGUAACACGUGAGAAACCUGCCCUGAAGUCUGGGAUAACCCGAGGAAACUCGAGUUAAUACCGGAUGCCCCCACCGAGUCGCAUGGCUUGGUGAGGAAAGAUUCAUCGCUUCAGGAGGGUCUCGCGGCCUAUCGGCUAGUUGGCGGGGUAACGGCCCACCAAGGCAUCGACGGGUAGCCGGCCUGAGAGGGCGAACGGCCACACUGGAACUGAGAUACGGUCCAGACUCCUACGGGAGGCAGCAGUGGGGAAUAUUGGGCAAUGGGGGGAACCCUGACCCAGCGACGCCGCGUGGGUGAAGAAAUCCUUCGGGAUGUAAAGCCCUGUUGUAUGGGAAGAGCGGAAGACGGUACCAUACGAGGAAGCCCCGGCAAACUACGUGCCAGCAGCCGCGGUAAU
This 488-nucleotide ribosomal RNA is filed under the name uncultured bacterium. RNAcentral's name for it is "bacterial SSU rRNA". It matches the Rfam family "Bacterial small subunit ribosomal RNA", at positions 28 to 524 of the family's 1533-position model. The record is from RNAcentral.